Long non-coding RNA from Passer domesticus (house sparrow), 4290 nucleotides. RefSeq lists it as uncharacterized. NCBI's taxonomy places the organism in Eukaryota, Metazoa, Chordata, Aves, Passeriformes, Passeridae. The transcript is spliced from 3 exons. The record is from RefSeq and is a predicted model, not a curated record.
UUCCUCCCCAUCCAGACCAGUUGUGCCAAAGCCAUGUGAGGAGCAGUAGAAGACUGACCAGACUGUUUCUUCUCAUCUGAAAGUUCAGGUCCAUGAGAAUUGUGACAUGUGACAAUGGGAUAUAGAUUUCAAUACCAUUUGGAUCUGCAUUGGGGUCUCCAGGAACCCUGGCAUCAAAGUCCAGUACUUCAGAACGUGUAAAUAAUGUUUCCUGGAAAGGUCACAAUCAGGUGCAUUGCCAAGUUUUGGUCACCUUUUGUGCUUUUGAGACGAUGGAGAUGUGUCUGUCUCUGCCCUGCAACAUUUAUUACCAAGAGUAUGCCAAAGUUGUAGAUGGUGAGUAAUUCCCUCUCGUCAGCAAAUGACAACUAGAAUAAUAAAAGAGUGUGUUGUCUCACUUGAUACAUUUUUUCCUGGAUUUGUCUUGCUGAUGGAAAAUGUUCAGAGGUAGAUUCCACCUUCUGAAUUAGUACAGAAAGUAUUGGUUGGAGGUGUGGUUUAGGUCAUGUUAAAGAAACUGAAGUGAGGUUUAUGUAACAAGUGAGAAAUGCAUAAAUAUUUUCUCUUGAAAUAAGAGUAUUACAAUUGGAAGGCUUAACCAACAACAAAGCUGAGGGUAAUAGCUUCAAACAGUCAACUCAGAAAAGUGUGAGUUUCCAUGACACCAAGACGAAUUUCUCCCUCAAAUGAGGAAACCAGCCAGCUGCCUUUGGGUGAGUAAAGUGACAGUGAUUGUGCUGCUAAUGCAACUGAGCAUCUGCUCCAGCUUCUUCUGUCCUCAGACACCAAACAAGUCAAAACACUGUGGUAAAAGUCUGUUUUGGAUAUCGAAUACUCUCGUACACCACACAGCAGGCAGCUCCUCUGGUGUGAUUCCCUUCUCUUAGUCCCUUCCUGCCCACACAAAAAGGGACAGUGUUAGUUUUAAAUAACUUAUUAUAUUUGGUGUAUUCAAGUGGUUAUUGCCCUUAUGUACAAUUCAGAGCAAUUUAAAUCUGUGUGUCCUGCUUUAGUCUGCAAACACUUGCUGUUCAGAUAUGCUUAGGAGUGCUGGAAGAGCACAGGCUCCAGAGCCUCCUGCAGUACUCCGUGAGCUGAUUCUCCAUUAAAUCCCUCCCAACACUGCUGAGACAGACCUUUGCUCACUUUGUGAGGCAGCAUCAGUGCCACUUGCUAAAAAUUGAGUGUUCAAUUGACAAUAAUGCAGAUGUUUCGUUCUGGUAGCACACUGACAAGGAGCCCUCACAUCCCAUUCCUUUCUGUGUUAAAACUAUUCCAAGCUUAGCCUGCUAUAUUAUGACCAGUUUACUGACUGCUCACCAUGUGCUGAGUUUAGAAGCAGUGAGGCCUUCCGAAGGGAUUCAAUGCAUAUAAUGUGUUUGGAGAAUGUAAGAUUAACACAAAAAGUGAGCUCUCUGCUAUGAGAUCAGAUGCUGGCAGUGACAGCUUCUAAAGGUGCUGCCUUCUUGAGGUGGCAUUUCAAAUAAGAGCUCAUUGAAAAUGAAAUGCACAAAGGCUUGCUGAAAAAAUAAAUCCAACUGAAAUUUUGGAUCCUCAUGCUCUCUCUGCUCUUUUUGAGAAAUGAAAUCUUCAGUGAUGUAUUUAUACCUGCAGAUGAAAAUACAUCUGAUUUGUCACAAAAUCAUUAACGAAUAUCCAACACUGUGUGCUCUGCCUAUAUAAAACUGAUCUGCUGGCAUGUGAGUCCAUAUGAUGAAUUUUCACUUGACUAGCUUCAAAAAUAUUUGGGAAUGUGUUUUCCUUUUCCCCUUUCAAGUCCCUUCUUCCUGCAGCUUUUUGUUGCUUGUGAGCUGCACAGACCCAAAAGCAGAUUAAACACCAUGAGUCAGAGUGUUCCACUCAGGAUUUCUUAGCCAAGAAUCAACAAUGGAGAAAAUCAUUUGCAUGGGUUUCUAGUCUAUGAAACAUCAUUCUGUCCCUUUGAAUUCUGAAACACAAAGAGAGAGGAUUUUAAUCUAAUUUUAAACCUGCAAGGUCCUGUCCUCUGAGCUUGUUUAGGUAAACGGACUUUGUGUAAUGAAAUCAUUAUUGCUUCCGGGAAUAAACAGAAUAAUACGUUUUUAAAAGCCUUGCCUACAUCAGAAUUGCUCCAUUUCUAGUUAUAGACUACAUUGAGCAGCAGAAUUACAAACCAAGUAAACAUCAGCUAGCCAGGACAGCAUUUUUAAAGGGUAGCUCUUAGAGAUGAAUUUAUGUCUGGUGGGAAGGGCUGCCUGAGCAGAAACCCCAGUUUAGAAGCGUGGGAGUCAGGCACACAGCAGCCUGUCCAUCUGGGCCUCUCCUCUGCACAGGCAAUGCCCAGUCAGUGGAGCCAUCCUGCUGCAGCAAGGCUCCAGCACUAUUCCACACACCCCUGGGAGUCCUUUCCCUGCACAGAUCCGGUAGCACCUCCUGCUGAGUGAGAUCGAGGGAAUGUUUCAGGCACUCCCGGGUUUUUGUGUAGCCCUGCCCUGGUGCUGCUGCUCUGCAUCCCUGAUGAAUUCCUGCUACAGCCCUGAGCACUUCAGAACUGCAAAGCACUGGUGAUAAUGGCAUUCAGCGCCGCAGAAAGCUCUGCCUCCCACUGCAUAUUCUACAUAUUAAAAAGGAGGGGAAAAACUGGCCCCCACAAAUUCCAGGCUCCAGCAUCAGGUCUGAAUCAUUAAUGAGAAGCAGCAGAUUCAGUUUCUCCUUAAGAGCAAAAUUUAUUGCAGUCUGAACUGUUGUACCUUGGGCUGGUGCCUGCACAGUGUUCUGUUGAUUUCUGUCUAGGUCACUGGAUUUGCCUGGAAAAUUGAAUGCCAUUCGAUUGGUGAAUUUGUGGGUUCUGGAUAGACUCUCAGCUAUAGAGGUAGUGGAAAACAGCCAUUAUUUCUCAGUCCCUUUUCCCCUGGUGGCACAAUGUGCAGUUACACGCUUGUUUCAGGGUGAACCUGCUCACACUGGAGUCCUUCCAGUGGGAGAGCAGCAGAUGAGGAUAUGGUCUCAUCUGCUGCCUUUACCAGCCCUUCCUUAAAGAGUAUAAUAGCUACAUAUGGCUCUGUGAGACUUACUCCUCAGUCCAUAUGGAGAAACUUCUGAGCAUGCGUUUACAAAGAAAACCAUACUUUCCUCAGGCCUGUGAGGGAGACUUUUCAGGAUAGCUCUCCGUCCAAGUCUCACUUCUUUGCCAAAACAGAUGUUAUAAUGUGCAUUUCCUGCAGCAGGUUUUUCUCUUAACAUUAUCUCACUCCCCCUCCCAGUGAGUGCCUCUACAUUCAUUAAAUAGAGUCUAAAUAUCUCAACAUCAUGUAAAUUACUUUAAAGCAAACAAACAACAAACCUCACGCACUUUCUCAUGGUAGUCUUUGGUUCAGAAAGCAGAGUGGCCCAUGGAUUCUGAGAACUCUUCCAUUGUGCAUGCCAGUGAUCAAAGGAUGCAGCUCUUGUUCUCUCACUGUUACAAGUAGGGUUGGUUUGAUCACAGUGGAUUUGCUUCCAGAAAAAAUGAAAAUCCAGUGAAGUAUCUCACACAGAUAGACAAGAUUCAUCGACCUGGGAAGAUCUCAUUCUGCUUCUUUGCACUGCAUAAUAUUUAGCUUACUUUUUACAGUUGAAUGCUUUCUAAUAGACACUGUUUAAAUUAAAAUAGUGCCAAUUAUUCAAUAUAUUAACAGUAUUAUAAUAGUCGGUGGGAAAUAUCCAGGAAUAAUUUGUGCUGGACAUAUUGCAGAAGUUGGUGAAGCCAGUAUUUUCCUUGAAAAGCAUGAAAGAUAAAGGACAUUAUAAUAUUUACAUUAUUAACAACUUGUUUUCUACAAGCACAAUGUAGGUGUAUGACAUUAUGAGUGUUUCUCCUGCACGAAAACCUGGAACUCAGAUAUAUUUGCUUUAUUAUGACUGGAAAAGUGAAAUUAAGUGAGGCAAGUAAAUGUCCUUCUUGUUUCUCACAGCUCACUGUGCAAGACAAGCUGCAGUUUGCAGCACUUUAUCUCUGUUUCACAGAGCCUUGUCUUUAAUUGUGUCUCAUUAAAUAGCAAUACAACACUGAACUGGCACCAUGAACGAGUGCUUCUCUAUCACCUGCUUGGGCUGAUCUUCUGUAGCUGAACUGUCCAAACUCUGCCAGUGCUCUCCAGCAAACACAGCGAGCAGGAAUGCUCCGAGGCUGAUCAAGAUUUCAGAUGUGCAGCUGUAGGUGUGGCUCCUGUGUCCACUGAAAACAGGCACCAAAUCUUUAUUUGUUUUCUUCAGCAGUUACAUUAAUACUGUUCAAAGGAAUUGAGCAUUCAGGUACAGGGUCUCCUGAAA